GGGGUUGUGGCUCAGUGGUAGAGCACUUGCCUGGCAUGUGUGGGACAAUGGGUUUGAUCCUCAGCCCCA
RNAcentral lists this transfer RNA (69 nucleotides) under Ictidomys tridecemlineatus (thirteen-lined ground squirrel). Its description in RNAcentral is "Spermophilus tridecemlineatus (thirteen-lined ground squirrel) tRNA". It matches the Rfam family "tRNA". From Rfam's summary of the family: Transfer RNA (tRNA) molecules are approximately 80 nucleotides in length. Their secondary structure includes four short double-helical elements and three loops (D, anti-codon, and T loops). The record is from Rfam by way of RNAcentral. Lineage: Eukaryota; Metazoa; Chordata; Mammalia; Rodentia; Sciuridae.